This 1299-nucleotide ribosomal RNA is filed under the name uncultured bacterium. Its description in RNAcentral is "bacterial SSU rRNA". It matches the Rfam family "Bacterial small subunit ribosomal RNA", at positions 37 to 1387 of the family's 1533-position model. The record is from RNAcentral.
UGGCGGCGUGCCUUAGCAUGCAAGUCAUGGGACCCGCAAGGGGUUACCGGCGGACGGGUGAGUAACGCGUGGGAAUCUACCUUGAAGUUGGACAUAGCUCGGCGAAAGUCGGGGUAAUUUCCAAUGUGAACGUAAGUUCAAAGCCGCAAGGCGCUUUAAGAUGAGCCCGCGUCCUAUCAGCUUGUAGGUGGGGUAAUGGCCUACCAAGGCGACGACGGGUAGCUGGUCUGAGAGGAUGGUCAGCCACAACGGCACUGCGACACGGGCCGUACAUCUACGGAUGGCAGCAACUGGGAAUAUUCGGCAAUGGGCGAAAGCCUGACCGAGCGACGCCGCGUGGAGGAUUGAAGGCCUUCGGGUUGUAAACUCCUUUUACGAGGGAAGAUUAUGACGGUACCUCGCGAAUAAGCACCUGCUAACUACGUGCCAGAAGCCUCGGUAAUACGUAGGGUGCAAGCGUUAUCCGGAUUCACUUGGGCAUAAAGAGUUGCGUAGGCGGUCUGAUAGAUUUUGCUUGAAAGCCCAUGGCUCAACCAUGGUUUUGGGCAAAAUAUCAUCAGACUUGAUGAUUGGAGAGGAUGCUGGAACUGACUGUGUAGCAGUGAAAUGCGUUGAUAUAGUCGGGAACACCAAAGGCGUAGGCAGGCAUCUAUUCAAUAUAUGACGCUGAGGCACGAAAGCUAGGGUAGCGAAGCAGAUUAGAGACCUGCGUAGUCCUAGCCGUAAACUAUCCCUGCUAGAUUGUCGUCUAUCGAUUUAUCGGUAAGUGACUGUCGAAGCUAACGCGUUAAGCAGGGCGCCUGGGGAGUACGAGCGCAAGCUUAAAACUCAAAGGAAUUGACGGGGAGGCGCACAAGCAGUGGAGCGUGUGGUUUAAUUCGAUACGAAGCGAAAAACCUCACCAGGGUUUGACAUGCAAUUGCUAAGCCUAUGAAAGUAGGCCUCCUUCGAGGGUAUUGCACAAAUGCUGCAUGGCUGUCGUCAGCUCGUGGCGUGAGCUGUUUUCUAAGUGAAUAAACGAGCGCAACCCGCAUCAUAUGUUAGAUAAGUCAUAUGAAACUGCCCGGCUUUGCCGGGAGGAAGGCGCGGAUGACGUCAAGUCUGCACGGCUCUUACACCCUGGGCUACACACACCCUACAAUGGCGAAAAACAACGAGUCGCUAGCCAGUAAUGGUAAGUAAAUCUCUGAAAUUUCGCCUCAGUUCAGAUUGAGGGCUGCAAUUCGCCCUCAUGAAGUCGGAAUUGCUAGUAAUCGCGGAUCAGCAAGGCCGCGGUGAUACGUUCUCGCCUCUUGCACA